GACGAACGCUGGCGGCGUGCUUAACACAUGCAAGUCGAACGGUGACCCAGGGCUUGCCCUGGUGAUCAGUGGCGAACGGGUGAGUAACACGUGGGCAACCUGCCCCUGACUUCGGGAUAACUCCUCGAAAGAGGAGCUAAUACCGGAUACGACCACUUCGGACAUCCGAUGGUGGUGGAAAGUUUUCGGUCAGGGAUGGCCCGCGGCCUAUCAGCUAGUUGGUGGGGUAAUGGCCUACCAAGGCGACGACGGGUAGCCGGCCUGAGAGGGCGACCGGCCACACUGGGACUGAGACACGGCCCAGACUCCUACGGGAGGCAGCAGUGGGAAUAUUGCGCAAUGGGCGAAAGCCUGACGCAGCGACGCCGCGUGAGGGA
Molecule: ribosomal RNA, 377 nt
Filed under: uncultured bacterium
Lineage: Bacteria
Description: bacterial SSU rRNA
Rfam family: Bacterial small subunit ribosomal RNA
Source: RNAcentral